This 513-nucleotide ribosomal RNA is filed under the name uncultured bacterium. RNAcentral describes it as "partial 16S ribosomal RNA". It matches the Rfam family "Bacterial small subunit ribosomal RNA", at positions 28 to 523 of the family's 1533-position model. The record is from RNAcentral.
GACGAACGCUGGCGGCAUGCCUAAUACAUGCAAGUCGAGCGAACAGAUGAAGUGCUUGCACUUCUGACGUUAGCGGCGAACGGGUGAGUAACACGUAAGGAAUCUACCUAUAAGCGGGGGAUAACAUUCGGAAACGGGUGCUAAUACCGCAUAAUAUCUUCUUCCGCAUGGAAGAAGAUUGAAAGACGGCUCUGCUGUCACUUAUAGAUGACCUUGCGGUGCGUUAGUUAGUUGGUGGGGUAACGGCCUACCAAGACGAUGAUGCAUAGCCGACCUGAGAGGGUGAUCGGCCACAUGGGGACUGAGACACGGCCCAAACUCCUACGGGAGGCAGCAGUAGGGAAUCUUCCGCAAUGGGCGAAAGCCUGACGGAGCAAUGCCGCGUGAGUGAAGAAGGCCUUCGGGUCGUAAAACUCUGUUAUAAGAGAAGAACAAAUUGUAGAGUAACUGCUACAGUCUUGACGGUAUCUUAUCAGAAAGCCACGGCUAACUACGUGCCAGCAGCCGCCGUAA